GUUUUACGUUCACCAACCGGCAUGGCGCCACCAUGUGGUCGUAUUGAAAACAGCUUAAAAUGCAUUUGACGCACUAGUUUUCAAAUUACGGUUCUUUAAUUUCAAGAAUUAAGAAUUAUUUCAAAUAUUAUGCGUAAACUGAGACUUCAGUAAUAUGUUUAUUUUUCACUAUUUCAAAUUUGCAUAAAAUGUAAUGACACUCUCUGGUCAGAGAGGUUUUAAAAUCUUACAUUGCUUCUGAACCAUGCGGUUGUCAACCACAUGAGAAAAAGGGAGUAAGUACGAUAACCGGAAAAAUUUGUUCCUGUCAUAGAAGUCUACUUCAAACAAAAAUACAACGGAAUUAAGGACCACGUGGCUAGAAACUUCAAAAUGCCCAAAGUCCCUGGAGUAGGGGACCAGGAAUGGAGUUGAGAAAAGGGCUCCAGGAGCGAAGGGGCACCAGUAAUAGACAACCAGAGAUCUGGAGUGAACCUCAUCCUGCCUCUAGAGGCCGGUGGGGAUGGCAGCCCGGAAGCGGUCAUCCCAGCGUGGACGCUGUGUUCAUUUGGGACCCUGUCAUCCUCUGGGCGCUGCAGGAGCCAGAGAAGCCGACAAGAGGCAAGCGGAGUUGGAGAAAUCAGAGUGUGGCGGACAGAUCAAGAGGAGCCGGUAUGACCUGCAUGCUCCAUGGGGUCUCUGUCCAAACUGAACAUGGUGGUGCAGCUUAGGUGGCUCCAGCAUUAGGACGUCUGAGUGGCCCUGUCAGAGGUAUGGGGCCAUUCUCGGCUUGCUGUGGGUGCGCUUCCCCAAGCGCUGCACCUGCCUUCCCUGAACCUUCCUCUGCUCGCAGGCACGCUAGCGUUGCACGAGAUUUGACCCUCUCCUCACCCACACACAUACUUCAUUGAGUGUGUGCUGUAGGUUUAUGGUUUGUAUUACUUUAUAAACUGGAAAAAUUUUUUCUCAUAAUUUGAGAGACAUGGGCUAACUUCUAAAGAGAUAGUAUGUCUG
This 993-nucleotide long non-coding RNA is filed under the name Chinchilla lanigera (long-tailed chinchilla). Its description in RNAcentral is "lncRNA (ENSCLAG00000024580.1)". Lineage: Eukaryota; Metazoa; Chordata; Mammalia; Rodentia; Chinchillidae. The record is from RNAcentral.